Molecule: unclassified non-coding RNA, 300 nt
Filed under: Hevea brasiliensis (rubber tree)
Lineage: Eukaryota; Viridiplantae; Streptophyta; Magnoliopsida; Malpighiales; Euphorbiaceae
Source: RNAcentral
GAGAAGCAAAAAUGCUGAUGAAUAAGUUGCAUCAAGAAAAUAAUCUUAGAGGUAACUCAAGCCAGAAGGAGAGAUCGAAGGUCAUUCCAACGUCUAUUUAGUGGACAAUAUGGGAAGAAAGGAACAAAAGAUGCUUUGAAGAUAAAUCAAGUCAUAUCCAGAAGAUGAAGUUGAAGUGUUUGGUACUUUUGUAUUUUUGGUGUAAAGGAACAUGUGUAGAAGAUCUUGAUUCAGUUUUUGAUAUUUUAAACUCCUUCUAUAUGAUAGUGGAGCUGUAGGUUUGGUCUCUGUACAGUCCUG